Molecule: long non-coding RNA, 3849 nt
Filed under: Betta splendens (Siamese fighting fish)
Lineage: Eukaryota; Metazoa; Chordata; Actinopteri; Anabantiformes; Osphronemidae
Description: lncRNA (ENSBSLG00000005935.1)
Source: RNAcentral
AUGCCCUACUGGAUACACAAAGUAGUAUUUGUAGACCAAGAGGUAUGCCAGAGUAUAGGUGCACGUUCGCAGCCAGUGAAGUUGAAACUUACCACUAUGAUGGGCAGAGACUCCCUUGUCCAUAGUGAAAGGGUUAGUGAGCUUAGAGUAAGAGCUUUCAACUCCCAAAGCUUUAUCAACUUACCACCUGCCUGUACUAGAGACUUCAUCCCUCUCGAGCCAUCCCACAUUCCCACCUCUGAAACAGCCAAAAGGUGGAAACACCUGAUCCCUAUAGCACACGAAAUCCCAGAGUUGAUGGAUUGUAAGGUCAGACUCCUGAUCGGUUAUGAUUGCUCCAGAGCAUUAGCACCACGACGUGUCAUCACGGGAGGCGACAAUGAGCCAUAUGCCAUUCAAACCGAUCUAGGCUGGAGUGUGGUCGGCAGCUCACCACAAACAGCAAAGUUGACUGAGGUGACAGGUUUGUGCCAUCGUGUGGCUGUUAAAGAACUUCCACCACUAACACCAACUAUUGUCAUCAGAGCCCUUGAAUCGGACUUCAAGGACACAAACCCAGGCGAAAAAUGUGUAUCCCAAGAGGACAUUCAUUUCACACAUUUACUAAAUGAAGGAAUACGCCAGAACGCUGAUGGGCACCUUGAAAUGCCUCUCCCAUUUAAGACACGCCCACAAUUACCAGAAAACAAACUUCUAGCCCAGGUAAGGCUUAAAUAUCUGAAGAGAAAAUUCGAGAAAAAUCCCAAACUUAAGACUGACUAUGUUAAAUUCCUGGAAGGUGUAUUUAAAGACAGUGAUGCAGAAAGAGCUGAAAACCAACCCAAAAGAGGAAACGUGUGGUAUAUUCCUCAUCAUGGGGUAUAUCAUCCUCGAAAGCCAGACAAAAUCAGAGUUGUUUUUGACUGUUCAGCCAAAUUUGAAGGCACAGCUCUGAAUGAUCACCUGUUAGCUGGACCUGAUCUCACCAAUGGGCUCACAGGAGUGCUCUGCAGAUUCCGCAAACAUCCAAUUGCAGUCAUCUGUGAUGUAGAAAAGAUGUUUCACAGAUUUCAUGUAAGCCAAGACGACAGAGACUACUUACGUUUUUUGUGGUGGGAAAAUGGCGAUACAAGUUUAGAACCAAAGGAAUAUCGGAUGAAAGUUCAUCUUUUUGGGGCAACAUCUUCUCCUGGUUGUGCGAAUUACGGAAUGAAGUAUCUGGCCAGUCAGAAUGAAAACGAGUAUCCUGCAGCAGCCAAUUUUAUCAGAAAGAUUUUUUAUGUUGAUGAUGGCCUCAUCAGCGUAGAUUCUGUGGAAGCAGCCAUCCGACUUGUUGGAGAAGUACAAGACGUGUGUUCAAGGGGGAAAUUACAUCUUCACAAGUUCAUCUCCAACAGCAGAGAAGUCUUGGAGUCUGUCCCUGACACUAAACGAGCUAAACAAGAACUUAACGAUGUAGAUCUCAGCUAUAAUGAACUACCAAUACAAACUGUGCUGGGAAUAAGGUGGAAUGUGAAGAGUGACACGUUCUCCUUCAAGGUUGCUCUAGAUGAAAAGCCAACAACUCGACGUGGGAUUCUAUCAACUGUAGCCUCAAUGUUUGAUCCACUUGGCUUCCUGGCCCCCUUUCUUCUGCUGGGAAAGCAAGUACUACAGGAGAUGUGUCAAAGGGGCAUUGGAUGGGAUGAACCACUCCCUACAGAAUUAAAGCCACAAUGGGACAGUUGGCUUAACGACCUUAAGAAGCUACAACAACUCCAAAUCCCAAGAUGCCUUGUUUUGGAAGACCCUAGCAAGGUUCUGAGAGUUGAACUACAUCACUUCUCAGAUGCAAGUAGCCAUGGAUAUGGUCAGUGCUCUUACAUGAGAGUAGUGAGUGGAGACAGGGUGCAUUGCUCCUUAGUCAUUGGUAAAGCCAGGGUGGCACCCACCAAGAUUGUAACUAUACCAAGGUUGGAAUUAACUGCAGCAGUGGUUUCUGCAGCAGUUAGCAGCAUGUUGAGGGAGGAGUUGGAGCUCAAAAUUGACGAGGAAUACUUUUGGACAGAUUCCCAGGUGGUCUUAGGCUACAUUAACAAUGAAGCGAAGAGAUUCCAUGUGUUUGUAGCAAAUCGCGUUCAACGAAUCAGAGAGACCACUAAUCCUGCACAGUGGUACUACGUCGAGACUGAUAAGAACCCAGCGGAUCACGCCUCCAGAGGGCUUAAGGUGGAAGAGUUGAUGAACUCGAGUUGGUUCACUGGUCCCAAGUUCCUAUGGGAGAGAGAAAUUGUCAUGCCAAAAUCUACUCCAAAGAUUCUGAUAGGGGAUCCCGAAGUCAAGACAAUACAGACACUGCAAACACAAGCUGAAAAGGAGGACAGGUUUAUAGAGAGGUUUGAACGGUUCUCGAAAUGGCAUACAGCAAUAAAUGUUGUUGUUCGGAUCCAGAAACUAGCAAAGGGAUUAAAACCUACAGAACCUGUCACUGUUGAAGACAGAAGGAAAGCUGGUUUGGCACUGAUCAAACUAGCGCAGAAAGAUAUCUUCAAAGAGGAAAUGCAAAUACUUGAAACAAGACACAGAAAACUUCCACAGAACCACAAACUGUUUCAGCUUGAUCCUGUCUUAGAAGAUGGUGUGCUAAGGGUGGGAGGUCGACUGAGAAAGGCUGCCUUACCUUUGGACGUGAGGCAUCCAGUGAUUCUACCAAGAAAUGGUGUGGUAACCCGCCUCAUCUUAGGCUACUGUCAUGAGAAAACCCAGCACCAAGGCAAAGGGCAAACCCUCAAUGAACUGAGAGCAAAUGGUUACUGGAUUGUUGGGGGCAGCAAGGUUGUAGCAAACUACAUCAACCAGUGUAUUAAAUGCAGAAGAGCUCGAAGGCCUACAGAGAUGCAAAAAAUGGCAGAUCUACCUGCUGCACGAGUCAACCCUUCUCCACCGUUUUCUUAUUGUGGUAUGGAUUGUUUUGGUCCAUUCUACACUAAACAGGGUCGUAAAGAGCAUAAGAGGUAUGGCCUAAUAUUCACCUGCUUAUCCUCCAGAGCAGUGCACAUUGAAAUGGUGGGAGAUCUGUCAACCGACGCUUUCAUAAAUGCUUUACGCUGUUUCAUAGCAAUUUGUGGAAGUGUGAGACAAAUUAGAUCUGAUCAAGGGACAAAUUUUGUUGGGGCAAGAAAUGAAUUAACAAAGGCUCUGCACGAGAUAGACAAAGACAAGGUCACAGCUUACCUAGCAGAAAACCAAUGUGAUUUUACUAUGAAUGUACCUGAUGCCAGUCACAUGGGAGGUGCAUGGGAACAGCAGAUUAGGUCUGUUAGGAGCGUCCUGAGCAGGGCCCUCUCUCAGAGUGCUGGAAGAUUGAAUGAUGCUUCCUUAAGGACUUUCCUAUAUGAAGCCAUGUCAAUCGUGAAUAGUCGUCCACUCACUGUUGAUAAUAUCAAUGAUCCCAAAGGCUUAGAGCCACUUACCCCAAACCACUUACUCACCAUGAAGGCAUCUAUCCCACUGCCUCUACCAGGAAAAUUUGAGAGUGAAGAUCUAUACGCCAGGAAACGAUGGCGUAGAGUUCAGUACUUGACAGAGCAAUUCUGGUGCAGAUGGAGGAAAGAAUAUCUGGCAAGCCUCACCCUCAGACAGCGCUGGCACUCUCCAAAGCGGAAUGUGAAGGUUGGAGAUGUUGUUAUUAUGAAGGAGGAAGGCGUUCUGCGUAAUGACUGGAGACUCGGAAGAGUUCUUGACGUAUGUACAGAUGAAGAUGGUCUGGUGCGGAAGGUCAGAGUUCACGUAGGAAAUAAAGAGUUAGGACAGAAGGGUCAAAGACCCAAGGGUCCCUCUAUUCUUGAAAGCCCCAUACACAAAUUAGUUGUGCUGGUGGAGAAUAACUGA